GGCUCCUUGGCAAUGGGCAAAGAGACAUCUUGUUGGUGGUGAUGUUCCUAUAUCAGUCAGGAACAGAGCAGAUGGCAGUCCUUUGUGCAUCCUAACUUAAUGUCUGGUUUGGUGGCUAAACUUGCUUUAUGUCUAGGACUCAUAA
Mus musculus (house mouse) is the source of this 145-nucleotide non-coding RNA. The record is from Rfam. NCBI's taxonomy places the organism in Eukaryota, Metazoa, Chordata, Mammalia, Rodentia, Muridae.